RNAcentral lists this non-coding RNA (45 nucleotides) under Schistosoma mansoni. Lineage: Eukaryota; Metazoa; Platyhelminthes; Trematoda; Strigeidida; Schistosomatidae. The record is from RNAcentral.
ACCCAGCUGACGAGUCCAAAAUAGGACGAAACGCGUGUCCUGGAU